ACUGCUCAGUAACACGUGGAUAACCUGCCCUUGGGUCCGGCAUAACCCCGGGAAACUGGGGAUAAUUCCGGAUAACGCACAUAUGCUGGAAUGCUUUAUGCGUAAAAUGGAUUCGUCUGCCCAAGGAUGGGUCUGCGGCCUAUCAGGUAGUAGUGGGUGUAAUGUACCUACUAGCCUACAACGGGUACGGGUUGUGAGAGCAAGAGCCCGGAGAUGGAUUCUGAGACAUGAAUCCAGGCCCUACGGGGCGCAGCAGGCGCGAAAACUUUACAAUGCGGGAAACCGUGAUAAGGGGACACCGAGUGCCAGCAUCAUAUGCUGGCUGUCCAGGUGUGUAAAAUACACCUGUUAGCAAGGGCCGGGCAAGACCGGUGCCAGCCGCCGCGGUAACACCGGCGGCCCGAGUGGUGAUCGUGAUUAUUGGGUCUAAAGGGUCCGUAGCCGGUUUGGUCAGUCCUCCGGGAAGUCUGACAGCUUAACUGUUAGGCUUUCGGGGGAUACUGCCAGACUUGGAACCGGGAGAGGUAAGAGGUACUACAGGGGUAGGAGUGAAGUCUUGUAAUCCCUGUGGGACCACCUGUGGCGAAGGCGUCUUACCAGAACGGGUUCGACGGUGAGGGACGAAAGCUGGGGGCACGAACCGGAUUAGAUACCCGGGUAGUCCCAGCCGUAAACGAUGCUCGCUAGGUGUCAGGCAUGGCGCGACCGUGUCUGGUGCCGCAGGGAAGCCGUGAAGCGAGCCACCUGGGAAGUACGGCCGCAAGGCUGAAACUUAAAGGAAUUGGCGGGGGAGCACA
Molecule: ribosomal RNA, 797 nt
Filed under: uncultured archaeon
Lineage: Archaea
Description: bacterial SSU rRNA
Rfam family: Archaeal small subunit ribosomal RNA
Source: RNAcentral